RNAcentral lists this long non-coding RNA (300 nucleotides) under Elaeis guineensis (African oil palm). Its description in RNAcentral is "long non-coding RNA (EGUI_LNC071256)". The record is from RNAcentral. Lineage: Eukaryota; Viridiplantae; Streptophyta; Magnoliopsida; Arecales; Arecaceae.
CAAUAUGCUUAAAGAAGUAUCUGGACAAAGAGUUGUCCACGGAUCAGUAUUUAUUUAUGUUACCAAUAACUGUUAGGUGAGGUGCACGACAUCAAUGAGACCGCAGCACCUACUAGAAACUCAAUUAUCGCGUUAGAAUUUUUGUUUCUCCACCUGAAGAGUGUAGGAGUUCUAAUAAAAUAGUGAGAGUCUCUUUUUGCAUCUAAAAGUCUCUAGAGUAAAAUUAUCUAAUAAAUAUAAACACUCAAUUAGAAUCUUUACUCUCUGCUAUUCAUUGUGUCAGCUUCCAACCCUCUAGCU